RNAcentral lists this ribosomal RNA (494 nucleotides) under uncultured bacterium. RNAcentral's name for it is "partial 16S ribosomal RNA". It matches the Rfam family "Bacterial small subunit ribosomal RNA", at positions 28 to 507 of the family's 1533-position model. The record is from RNAcentral.
GACGAACGCUGGCGGCGCGCUUAACACAUGCAAGUCGAACGGAAAGGCCUGCUUUCCCUUGUGGAUUGCGGGUACUCGAGUGGCGAACGGGUGAGUAACACGUGAGUGAUCUGCCCCCAACUUGGGUAUAAGCCUGGGAAACUGGGUCUAAUUCCCGAUAGGACUGCAGGGUGGUGCCUGUGGUGGAAAACGAUUUUCUAGUGGUUGGGGAUGAGCUCGCGGCCUAUCAGCUUGUUGGUGGGGUAAUGGCCUACCAAGGCGGCGACGGGUAGCCGGCCUGGGAGGGUGGACGGCCACAUUGGGACUGCGAUACGGCCCAGACUCCUACGGGAGGCAGCAGUGGGGAAUAUUGCACAAUGGGCGGAAGCCUGAUGCAGCGACGCCGCGUGGGGGAUGACGGCCUUCGGGUUGUAAACUCCUUUCGACCGCGAGGAAGCCACCUGGUUGGAAGGGUGGUGACGGUAGUGGUAGAAGAAGCACCGGCUAACUACGUG